This 584-nucleotide unclassified non-coding RNA is filed under the name Hevea brasiliensis (rubber tree). Lineage: Eukaryota; Viridiplantae; Streptophyta; Magnoliopsida; Malpighiales; Euphorbiaceae. The record is from RNAcentral.
CACCUUCUUUCAAAGCUUGGCAUUGAGGUAACUGUUGCUGAUGCAAGAUUCUGCAAGCCACUCGACAUAAAGCUUCUCAGACAACUAUGUGAAGACCAUACAUUUCUUGUCACAGUUGAGGAAGGCUCUGUUGGAGGAUUUGGAUCCCAUGUUGCACAGUUCAUGGCACUUGAUGGACAGCUUGACGGUAGAGUUAAGUGGCGACCUAUUGUUUUACCAGACAGCUAUGUCGAACAUGCAUUGCCAAAGGAACAGCUUACUCUGGCAGGGCUGACUGGACACCACAUUGCUGCAACUGUACUAAGAUUACUUGGCCGCACCCGUGAAGCUCUCCUUUUAAUGUCUUAGAAAUCUAUAUUUUCCCUGCUAUAAGGCUUACUGAUUGAAGCUGCCUCAGAGAACAAAGCCAAAAGAUAGAUGGAAGCUUAAGAUGUUGCUGAGCCUACAGUUCUACACUGAUUUUUGUACCCUCUAUAUAAUUCCUAGUAAUUAGUUUAUAUGUGAGGCACUGACAACAUUGGUGAUAUGCAUUUUCUCCCGUUCAUUAAUUCUUCCUUUCACUAAUAUUGUUAAUGAUAGUGAAA